UGCAGUCGAGCGGUAACAGGUCGCGAAGCUUGCUGCNCAUGCGUGAGCGAGCGGCGGACGGGUGAGUAAUGCAUAGGAAUCUGCCCGGUAGUGGGGGAUAACCUGGGGAAACCCAGGCUAAUACCGCAUACGCCCUACGGGGGAAAGCAGGGGCUCUUCGGACCUUGCGCUAUCGGAUGAGCCUAUGUCGGAUUAGCUAGUUGGUAGGGUAAAGGCCUACCAAGGCGACGAUCCGUAGCUGGUCUGAGAGGAUGAUCAGCCACAUCGGGACUGAGACACGGCCCGAACUCCUACGGGAGGCAGCAGUGGGGAAUAUUGGACAAUGGGGGCAACCCUGAUCCAGCCAUGCCGCGUGUGUGAAGAAGGCCUUCGGGUUGUAAAGCACUUUCAGCGAGGAAGAAAGCCUGGUGGCCAAUACCCACCAGGAAGGACAUCACUCGCAGAAGAAGCACCGGCUAACUCCGUGCCAGCAGCCGCGGUAAUACGGAGGGUGCGAGCGUUAAUCGGAAUUACUGGGCGUAAAGCGCGCGUAGGUGGCUUGAUAAGCCGGUUGUGAAAGCCCUGGGCUCAACCUGGGAACGGCAUCCGGAACUGUCAGGCUAGAGUGCAGGAGAGGAAGGUAGAAUUCCCGGUGUAGCGGUGAAAUGCGUAGAGAUCGGGAGGAAUACCAGUGGCGAAGGCGGCCUUCUGGACUGACACUGACACUGAGGUGCGAAAGCGUGGGUAGCAAACAGGAUUAGAUACCCUUGGUAGUCCACGCCGUAAACGAUGUCGACUAGCCGUUGGGGUCCCUCGCGGACUUUGGUGGCGCAGUUAACGGCGAUAAAGCCGACCGGCCUGGGGGAGUACGGGCCGCAAAGGUUAAAAACUCCAAAUUGAAUUUGACGGGGGGCCCCGCACAAAGCGGGUGGAAGCAUGGUGGGUUUAAA
This 929-nucleotide ribosomal RNA is filed under the name Halomonas chromatireducens. RNAcentral's name for it is "bacterial SSU rRNA". It matches the Rfam family "Bacterial small subunit ribosomal RNA", at positions 56 to 954 of the family's 1533-position model. Lineage: Bacteria; Pseudomonadati; Pseudomonadota; Gammaproteobacteria; Oceanospirillales; Halomonadaceae. The record is from RNAcentral.